GACAGAGGGGGCAAGCGUUGCUCGGAAUCACUGGGCGUAAAGGGCGCGUAGGCGGGAUGGCAAGUCGGUCGUGAAAUCUCUCGGCUCAACCGAGAAACGUCGGCCGAUACUGCCGUUCUUGAGGGAUGCAGAGGAGACUGGAAUUCCCGGUGUAGCGGUGAAAUGCGCAGAUAUCAGGAGGAACACCAAUGGCGAAGGCAGCUCGCUGGGACGUGACUGACGCUGAGACGCGAAAGCGUGGGGAGCAAACAGG
RNAcentral lists this ribosomal RNA (253 nucleotides) under uncultured bacterium. Its description in RNAcentral is "partial 16S ribosomal RNA". It matches the Rfam family "Bacterial small subunit ribosomal RNA", at positions 524 to 776 of the family's 1533-position model. The record is from RNAcentral.